UCCUCCCACCGAACCAAAAGCUCUCCAUCUCUUCUUUCUCAAACCAAAGAUUUCUCUCAAAUAUCUCCUUCCAUCGAUUUUCACUCUUCAAAUCGCCCGUUUAGGAAUCAAGUUCCUCUCCUCUUCCUUCUUCAUUUGGGGUGGUUCGAGCUUUCCCUAGACUCUACCCGCCUUCUCCAAAUCGGCACAACACCUCUUCAAAAUCUUUGCCUAUCCACUAGAAUCUUUUCAUCUCUCCAUCACAUUUAGUCUCCUAAGCUCCUUUCAAGUCCUUCCUGUGCAA
This 283-nucleotide long non-coding RNA is filed under the name Elaeis guineensis (African oil palm). RNAcentral describes it as "long non-coding RNA (EGUI_LNC082458)". Lineage: Eukaryota; Viridiplantae; Streptophyta; Magnoliopsida; Arecales; Arecaceae. The record is from RNAcentral.